RNAcentral lists this ribosomal RNA (253 nucleotides) under Listeria monocytogenes. RNAcentral describes it as "partial 23S ribosomal RNA". It matches the Rfam family "Bacterial large subunit ribosomal RNA", at positions 2171 to 2423 of the family's 2925-position model. Lineage: Bacteria; Bacillati; Bacillota; Bacilli; Caryophanales; Listeriaceae. The record is from RNAcentral.
CUAGCAUACGAGGAGGCAAUGGUGGGAUACUACCCUGGCUGUAUGACCAUUCUAACCCGCCACGCUUAGCGCGUGGGGAGACAGUGUCAGGUGGGCAGUUUGACUGGGGCGGUCGCCUCCUAAAGAGGAACGGAGGCGCCCAAAGGUUCCCUCAGAAUGGAUGGAAAUCAUUCGCAGAGUGUAAAGGCACAAGGGAGCUUGACUGCGAGACUGACAAGUCGAGCAGGGACGAAAGUCGGGCUUAGUGAUCCGG